GACGAACGCNGGCGGCGUGCCUAAUACAUGCAAGUCGAGCGAAGUUUUUCUGGUGCUUGCACUAGAAAAACUUAGCGGCGAACGGGUGAGUAACACGUAAAGAACCUGCCUCAUAGACUGGGACAACUAUUGGAAACGAUAGCUAAUACCGGAUAACAGCAUUAACUGCAUGGUUGAUGUUUAAAAGUUGGUUUUGCUAACACUAUGAGAUGGCUUUGCGGUGCAUUAGCUAGUUGGUGGGGUAAAGGCCUACCAAGGCGACGAUGCAUAGCCGACCUGAGAGGGUGAUCGGCCACACUGGGACUGAGACACGGCCCAGACUCCUACGGGAGGCAGCAGUAGGGAAUCUUCCGCAAUGGGCGAAAGCCUGACGGAGCAACGCCGCGUGAGUGAAGAAGGAUUUCGGUUCGUAAAGCUCUGUUGUUAGGGAAGAAUGAUUGUGUAGUAACUAUACACAGUAGAGACGGUACCUAACCAGAAAGCCACGGCUAACUACGUGCCAGCAGCCGCGGUAAUACGUAGGUGGCAAGCGUUGUCCGGAAUUAUUGGGCGUAAAGCGCGCGCAGGUGGUUUAAUAAGUCUGAUGUGAAAGCCCACGGCUCAACCGUGGAGGGUCAUUGGAAACUGUUAAACUUGAGUGCAGGAGAGAAAAGUGGAAUUCCUAGUGUAGCGGUGAAAUGCGUAGAGAUUAGGAGGAACACCAGUGGCGAAGGCGGCUUUUUGGCCUGUAACUGACACUGAGGCGCGAAAGCGUGGGGAGCAAACAGG
RNAcentral lists this ribosomal RNA (768 nucleotides) under uncultured bacterium. Its description in RNAcentral is "bacterial SSU rRNA". It matches the Rfam family "Bacterial small subunit ribosomal RNA", at positions 28 to 776 of the family's 1533-position model. The record is from RNAcentral.